CAAAAUUCGAUUAUCGAUAUUACACGGCAAACAUUUCAGUCGCUAUCAUAUGAAUUUCAUUUCUUAUAAGACUAUUGUUUCGUGCACUUCAAGACCCUAAGAAAAAUUCACUUCUUCUUAAAAUGUAACUCUUCCGAGGGUAGAAAGAGAAGAAAAAAUCAUAUUCCUGCAGUGUGUCACUUAUUUUCAAAUGUUCAUGCCAAUUUUAUUCGGAAUACAAAAAAUAUUGCGAAAAACAAAAACUGCGAUCGUCGAAAAAACUAGAGGUUAUCUCUCGUUUUACAAACUAAUUUUUCUGUAUUCUAGGAAAAAGUCUCGCUUCCAAAAAUUGUCUCAAUUAUUUUGAAAUUUGUGGAAUUACGAGUGUGAUAAAACGAGCUCGCAACCGCACAGAAAAAGAACAGUUUAACGCGGAGUGAAUACGAAGCUGCUCCAUAUUCCAAGCUACGAAGCCAUCGCUAUUGUUCGCGAUGAACCAGCUAGAAAGAAGAAUAAAAUUGCGGGAGCAUUACCGUCAUUGAUGUUACCUUAAUGAGGAGACCCAUAUUAUUUAUCAAGCACGUAACGAUUCUUUAAUGGAUUUCCGGCGAAAGAGGCAUGAAAGAAGAGGAAUAAAACGGAUGUCAUUCAUUGAAUAAAUUGCUGUUUGCCAAGCAUUCUUCAGGCGCUAUCCGAAUCUUUACGCGACUCACGUUUUAUCGGAGAAUAUCCUGUAUCGAGAAGUCGAUGGCACAAAUCUCUUCAGCGCGAGGAUUUUUUGCAAAAGAGCUACCGCUUCGUUACCGAACCGGACUCAGAAACUAACGAACGCACGUUUUUCGGAAAGUUUUUCGUUUGAAUAAACUUUGGCAGAACUAUUAAACUACAUUUUCGCAAUUUCCGCUUUUACGGGAGCCAAAAUGGUUGGCGCAGAUAUUGGGAGCCUUGCAGCCGAUAAUAUGCACAUUUCAAAGUUUGCAAGGUAUAAGAUACAGCCUUCCUUGACCUCUUGAUCGAUCGAUGCUUUUAUCACUACUGCAUCAAGCAUCUAUUUUACGGCAGCAACAAAAGUGCGUUCGAAGAGAGGCCAUUUGCAAUGAAUUUACGAGCGAGUCAUAGGUGCUGAUCCUCGAGGAAAGCAUCGUCGAUCUCGGCGCGAAACGACUGGUCUCGUUAACCAGGAACGUCGAUCAUAGAAAAUUGCUAGUCACCACGGAAACGACCGAGUAUAUACCCAACCGCGGCGAUUUCGAUAAAACUCUGAUGACUCGUACCAGCAUCCGAUCGUCUCCCAAUCGCGGGUCGUAUGAUCGAAGGAGUCUGUCACGCACGAGCAGUCACAAACAGUGCAGAUAAGGAAAGAAAGAGAAAGGAGGAAAGAAGCGUUGCACCUCGCAAUUGUCUCGAAAGCAGCCAAAACUAAAUGCGUCGUUAUAUGCAAAAGUUAUAAGCGAGUGAAUUGCGAAACGAUUUUUGUUACGAGAAGAUUUCUUUACGUGCUCGCGCGCAAUAGAAUGGAGGGUCUUCAGAAAAGCCAGGAAUUGCUAUCGGUUGACUUCGUAAUAAAACUAUACGUGAUUUACGGGCUGCUGUACUUUCUUGUCCUUGUGCUCGACUAUUUUUUAUGGACGAGUAAAUUUUGGACUUCCCCCUUUUCGGAAUUUCGAUGGCACGGCUACGUGACAAACAGCUGUUGCAAACUCUGAACUUUUACUAUCGAAAUGUGACUUGGCGAUAUUUAUCUAUCUUCCGAUGAUCGAGAUAUACUCGCUAUUAUUUAAAUAAAUUACUAGCUAAUGUUAUA
This is a long non-coding RNA of Wasmannia auropunctata (little fire ant), 1783 nucleotides long. RefSeq lists it as uncharacterized. NCBI's taxonomy places the organism in Eukaryota, Metazoa, Arthropoda, Insecta, Hymenoptera, Formicidae. The transcript has 4 exons. The record is from RefSeq and is a predicted model, not a curated record.